CCUACGGGAGGCAGCAGUAGGGAAUAUUGCACAAUGGGCGCAACCCUGAUGCAGCAAUGCCGCGUGUAGGAAGAAGGUCUUCGGAUUGUAAACUACUUUUGUUAGAGAAGAUAAUGAUAGUAUUAAAAGACUAAGCACCGGCCAACUCCGAGCCAGCAACCGCGGUAAUACGGAGGGUGCAAGCGUUACUCGGAACCACUGGUCGAAAAGAGCGUGUAGGUGGGUUAGCAAGUCAGGUGUGAAAUCCUAGGGCUUAACCAUAGAACUGCAUUUGAAACUGCUAAUCUAGAGUAUGGGAGAGGUAGGUGGAAUUCUUGGUGUAGGGGUAAAAUCCGUAGAGAUCAAGAGGAAUACUCAUGGCGAAGGCGACCUGCUAGAACAUAACUGACGCUGAUGCGCGAAAGCGUGGGGAGCAAACAGGAUUAGAUACCCCUGUAGUC
Molecule: ribosomal RNA, 440 nt
Filed under: uncultured bacterium
Lineage: Bacteria
Description: partial 16S ribosomal RNA
Rfam family: Bacterial small subunit ribosomal RNA
Source: RNAcentral